RNAcentral lists this transfer RNA (90 nucleotides) under Candidatus Bathyarchaeota archaeon. RNAcentral describes it as "tRNA-Ser". It matches the Rfam family "tRNA". Rfam says of the family: Transfer RNA (tRNA) molecules are approximately 80 nucleotides in length. Their secondary structure includes four short double-helical elements and three loops (D, anti-codon, and T loops). Further hydrogen bonds mediate the characteristic L-shaped molecular structure. tRNAs have two regions of fundamental functional importance: the anti-codon, which is responsible for specific mRNA codon recognition, and the 3' end, to which the tRNAs corresponding amino acid is attached (by aminoacyl-tRNA synthetases). tRNAs cope with the degeneracy of the genetic code in two manners: having more than one tRNA (with a specific anti-codon) for a particular amino acid; and 'wobble' base-pairing, i.e. permitting non-standard base-pairing at the 3rd anti-codon position. Lineage: Archaea; Thermoproteati; Candidatus Bathyarchaeota. The record is from RNAcentral.
GCCGGGAUGGCUGAGAGGAUUAAAGCGCAGGCCUUGAGAGUCUGUGACCUAUUCAUGGUCUCAAGGGUUCGAAUCCCUUUCCCGGCGCCA